RNAcentral lists this ribosomal RNA (178 nucleotides) under uncultured bacterium. RNAcentral describes it as "partial 16S ribosomal RNA". It matches the Rfam family "Bacterial small subunit ribosomal RNA", at positions 332 to 526 of the family's 1533-position model. The record is from RNAcentral.
AUUACUCCUACGGGAGGCAGCAGUGGGGAAUCUUGCGCAAUGGGCGAAAGCCUGACGCAGCAACGCCGCGUGGGGGAUGAAGGCUUUCGGGUUGUAAACCCCUUUCAGCGGGAACGAAAUUGACGGUACCUGCAGAAGAAGCCCCGGCUAACUACGUGCCAGCAGCCGCGGUAAUAAU